UAGUCCACGCCGUAAACGAUGUCUACUAGCCGUUGGGAGGCUUGACCUCUUAGUGGCGCAGCUAACGCGAUAAGUAGACCGCCUGGGGAGUACGGUCGCAAGAUUAAAACUCAAAUGAAUUGACGGGGGCCCGCACAAGCGGUGGAGCAUGUGGUUUAAUUCGAUGCAACGCGAAAAACCUUACCAGGCCUUGACAUCCAGAGAAGUCGCUAGAGAUAGCUUCGUGCCUUCGGGAACUCUGUGACAGGUGUUGCAUGGCUGUCGUCAGCUCGUGUCGUGAGAUGUUGGGUUAAGUCCCGUAACGAGCGCAACCCUUAUCCUUAUUUGCCAGCACGUAAUGGUGGGAACUCUAAGGAGACUGCCGGUGACAAACCGGAGGAAGGAGAGGAUGAUGUCAAGUCAUCAUGGCCCUUACGGCCUGGGCUACACACGUGCUACAAUGGAAAGUACAGAGGGCCGCGAUACCGCGAGGUGGAGCAAAUCCCAAAAACUUUCGUAGUCCGGAUCGGAGU
This 512-nucleotide ribosomal RNA is filed under the name uncultured bacterium. RNAcentral's name for it is "bacterial SSU rRNA". It matches the Rfam family "Bacterial small subunit ribosomal RNA", at positions 791 to 1304 of the family's 1533-position model. The record is from RNAcentral.